This 1374-nucleotide ribosomal RNA is filed under the name Roseibium aggregatum. Its description in RNAcentral is "bacterial LSU rRNA". It matches the Rfam family "Bacterial large subunit ribosomal RNA", at positions 1 to 1455 of the family's 2925-position model. Lineage: Bacteria; Pseudomonadati; Pseudomonadota; Alphaproteobacteria; Hyphomicrobiales; Stappiaceae. The record is from RNAcentral.
UCUUAAGGGCAUUCGGUGGAUGCCUUGGCGACAAGAGGCGAUGAAGGACGUGAUACGCUGCGAUAAGCCAUGGGGAGCUGCGAAUAAGCUUUGAUCCGUGGAUUUCCGAAUGGGGAAACCCACUCCGUAUGGAGUACCCGCAAGGGAGCAAACCCGGGGAACUGAAACAUCUAAGUACCCGGAGGAAAGGACAUCAACCGAGACUCCGCUAGUAGUGGCGAGCGAACGCGGACCAGGCCAGUGGCUUGCAUUUAAGAACCGGAACCGUCUGGAAAGUCGGGCAUUAGUGGGUGAUAGCCCCGUACGGGUAGAAAUUAUGCAAGUCCUCGAGUAGGGCGGGACACGUGAAAUCCUGUCUGAACGUGGGGGGACCACCCUCCAAGCCUAAGUACUCCUUGUCGACCGAUAGCGAACAAGUACCGUGAGGGAAAGGUGAAAAGUACCCCGACGAGGGGAGUGAAACAGUUCCUGAAACCGGAUGCCUACAAACAGUUGGAGGGCGCAAGCCUGACAGCGUACCUUUUGUAUAAUGGGUCAGCGACUUAAUUUAACGAGCAAGCUUAAGCCGGUAGGUGUAGGCGUAGCGAAAGCGAGUCUGAAUAGGGCGCCCUAGUUCGUUGGAUUAGACCCGAAACCGAGUGAUCUAGCCAUGGCCAGGUUGAAGGUGCGGUAACACGCACUGGAGGACCGAACCCACGCCUGUUGAAAAAGUCGGGGAUGAGCUGUGGCUAGGGGUGAAAGGCCAAUCAAACUCGGAAAUAGCUGGUUCUCCGCGAAAUCUAUUUAGGUAGAGCGUCGGAUGAAUACUCUCGGGGGUAGAGCACUGGAUGGGCUAUGGGGGCUUACCGCCUUACUGAUCCUAACCAAACUCCGAAUACCGAGAAGUACUAUCCGGCAGACACACAGUGGGUGCUAACGUCCAUUGUGGAGAGGGAAACAACCCUGACCGCCAGUUAAGGUCCCUAAGUUAUGGCUAAGUGGGAAAGGAUGUAGAACUCCCAAAACAACCAGGAUGUUGGCUUAGAAGCAGCCAUCAUUUAAAGAAAGCGUAACAGCUCACUGGUCUAAAUAAGGGGUUCCGCGCCGAAAAUGUACCGGGGCUCAAGCCAUACACCGAAACUGCGGGUGCAUCUUAUGAUGCGCGGUAGCGGAGCGUUCUGUAAGUCUGCGAAGGGGGACCCGUGAGGGCUCCUGGAGAUAUCAGAAGUGCGAAUGCUGACAUGAGUAACGAUAAAGCGGGUGAGAGACCCGCUCGCCGAAAGUCCAAGGGUUCCUGCGCAACGCUAAUCGGCGCAGGGUUAGCCGGCCCCUAAGGCGAGGCCGAAAGGCGUAGUCGAUGGGAAUGCAGUUAAUAUUCUGCAGCUUGGUGGUAGU